UAUUAAAAAUUUCAUCCAUUUCUACAAUUAAAAAUUGACAUGGUUAACGAAAUAAUCAUACAGUUACACAUGUACCUCAUACUGAGGUACAUGGAUCAGUUUUUAAUAAUAGAAAUGAACCGAUUUUUUAAUA
Gossypium arboreum is the source of this 133-nucleotide microRNA precursor. It matches the Rfam family "MIR7502 microRNA precursor family". Lineage: Eukaryota; Viridiplantae; Streptophyta; Magnoliopsida; Malvales; Malvaceae. The record is from Rfam.